GCCUUUUGUAUUUUCACUGACUCAUAUUUCCUUUACUCAGGCUCCCACAUCAGGGCGUGAAGGAGCCCACGAGUUACCGUGGGAGCUGUGGGAGCUGCCCUGUGACUGUUAGGAAGAUGCCGUACCUUGGCUCCGAGGACGUGGUGAAGGAGGUGAAGAAGGCUCUGUGUAAUCCUCACAUUCAAGCUGAUAGGCUGCGCUACCGGAAUGUCAUCCAGCGAGUGAUUAGGUACAUGACUCAAGGCUUGGACGUGUCUGGUGUUUUUAUGGAAAUGGUGAAGGCCAGUGCCACUGUAGAUAUUGUCCAGAAGAAGUUGGUUUAUCUGUACAUGUGCACAUAUGCUCCCCUGAAACCAGAUCUGGCUCUCCUGGCCAUCAAUACGCUGUGCAAAGACUGCUCAGACCCCAAUCCAAUGGUGCGAGGGCUGGCGUUACGGAGCAUGUGUAGCCUCAGGAUGCCUGGUGUGCAGGAGUAUAUACAACAGCCUAUUCUCAACGGUCUGCGGGAUAAGGCUUCAUAUGUCAGGAGAGUGGCAGUCCUUGGAUGUGCCAAGAUGCAUAAUCUUCAUGGAGACUCUGAAGUAGGAUGUCAAAACUGGACCAAUGGGGCCAAGCUGAAGUAUUGAACUUUCUGCUACGCUACCAACCCCGCAGUGAGGAAGAACUAUUUGACAUUCUCAAUCUGUUGGAUAGUUUCCUCAAGAGCAGUAGCCCAGGUGUGGUGAUGGGAGCUACCAAACUUUUUCUGAUCUUGGCAAAAAAGUUUCCCCACGUACAAACUGAUGUCCUUGUGCGGGUCAAGGGACCUUUGCUAGCUGCCUGUUCUUCAGAGAGCCGUGAGCUCUGUUUUGUUGCUCUUUGUCAUGUACGCCAGAUCUUGCAUAGUUUACCAGGUCACUUUAGCAGCCACUACAAAAAGUUUUUUUGCUCCUACUCGGAGCCCCACUACAUCAAACUACAGAAAGUGGAGGUGCUGUGUGAGCUGGUGAACGACGAGAAUGUGCAGCAGGUGCUAGAGGAGCUUCGAGGGUACUGCACGGAUGU
This 1044-nucleotide small RNA is filed under the name Pongo abelii (Sumatran orangutan). Its description in RNAcentral is "processed transcript". The record is from RNAcentral. Lineage: Eukaryota; Metazoa; Chordata; Mammalia; Primates; Hominidae.